Molecule: ribosomal RNA, 484 nt
Filed under: uncultured bacterium
Lineage: Bacteria
Description: partial 16S ribosomal RNA
Rfam family: Bacterial small subunit ribosomal RNA
Source: RNAcentral
AUUGAACGCUGGCGACAUGCUUUACACAUGCAAGUCGAACGGCAGCGCGGGCUUCGGCCUGGCGGCGAGUGGCGAACGGGUGAGUAAUGCAUCGGAACGUGCCCAGUAGUGGGGGAUAGCCCGGCGAAAGCCGGAUUAAUACCGCAUACGACCUGAGGGUGGAAGCGGGGGACCGAAAGGCCUCGCGCUAUUGGAGCGGCCGAUGUCGGAUUAGCUAGUUGGUGGGGUAAAGGCUUACCAAGGCGACGAUCCGUAGCUGGUCUGAGAGGACGACCAGCCACACUGGGACUGAGACACGGCCCAGACUCCUACGGGAGGCAGCAGUGGGGAAUUUUGGACAAUGGGGGCAACCCUGAUCCAGCCAUGCCGCGUGCGGGAAGAAGGCCUUCGGGUUGUAAACCGCUUUUGUUCGGGAAGAAAUCCUCUGGGCUAAUACCCCGGGGGGAUGACGGUACCGGAAGAAUAAGCACCGGCUAACUACGUG